GAUGAACGCUGGCGGCGUGCCUAAUACAUGCAAGUCGAGCGAACAGACGAGGAGCUUGCACCACUGACGUUAGCGGCGGACGGGUGAGUAACACGUGGAGAACCUACCUUUAAGCCUGGGGUAACUUCGGGAAACCGGAGCUAAUACCGCAUAAUAUCUUUAACCGCAUGGUUCAAGAGUGAAAGACGCUUUUGCAUCCAUCAAUGAAUAGAUCCGCUCGUCAUUAGUUAGUUGGUAAGGUAACGGCUUACCAAGGCAACGAUGCGUAGCCGACCUGAGAGGGUGAUCGGCCACACUGGAACUGAGACACGGUCCAGACUCCUACGGGAGGCAGCAGUAGGGAAUCUUCCGCAAUGAGCGAAAGCUUGACGGAGCAACGCCGCGUGAGUGAUGAAGGUCUUCGGAUCUUAAAACUCUGUUAUUAGGGAAGAACAAAUGUGUAAGUAACUAUGCACGUCUUGACGGUACCUAAUCAGAAAGCCACGGCUAACUACGUG
RNAcentral lists this ribosomal RNA (497 nucleotides) under uncultured bacterium. RNAcentral describes it as "partial 16S ribosomal RNA". It matches the Rfam family "Bacterial small subunit ribosomal RNA", at positions 28 to 507 of the family's 1533-position model. The record is from RNAcentral.